UGGCGAACGGGGUGGAGUAACAACGUGGGGCAACCUGCCCAAAANAGGGGGAGUAACACUUGGAAACAGGUGCUAAUACCGCAUAACCAUAGUUACCGCAUGGUAACUAUGUAAAAGGUGGCUAUGCUACCGCUUUUGGAUGGGCCCGCGGCGCAUUAGCUAGUUGGUGGGGUAAAGGCUUACCAAGGCAAUGAUGCGUAGCCGAACUGAGAGGUUGAUCGGCCACAUUGGGACUGAGACACGGCCCAAACUCCUACGGGAGGCAGCAG
RNAcentral lists this ribosomal RNA (269 nucleotides) under uncultured bacterium. Its description in RNAcentral is "partial 16S ribosomal RNA". It matches the Rfam family "Bacterial small subunit ribosomal RNA", at positions 96 to 354 of the family's 1533-position model. The record is from RNAcentral.